RNAcentral lists this ribosomal RNA (979 nucleotides) under Leotiomycetes sp. RNAcentral's name for it is "SSU rRNA". It matches the Rfam family "Eukaryotic small subunit ribosomal RNA", at positions 60 to 1048 of the family's 1831-position model. The record is from RNAcentral. Lineage: Eukaryota; Fungi; Ascomycota; Leotiomycetes.
CUAGUAUAAGCAAUCUAUACGGUGAAACUGCGAAUGGCUCAUUAAAUCAGUUAUCGUUUAUUUGAUAGUACCUUACUACUUGGAUAACCGUGGUAAUUCUAGAGCUAAUACAUGCUAAAAACCCCGACUUACGAAGGGGUGUAUUUAUUAGAUAAAAAACCAAUGCCCUUCGGGGCUCCUUGGUGAUUCAUAAUAACUUAACGAAUCGCAUGGCCUUGUGCCGGCGAUGGUUCAUUCAAAUUUCUGCCCUAUCAACUUUCGAUGGUAGAGUAGUGGUCUACCAUGGUUUCAACGGGUAACGGGGAAUUAGGGUUCUAUUCCGGAGAGGGAGCCUGAGAAACGGCUACCACAUCCAAGGAAGGCAGCAGGCGCGCAAAUUACCCAAUCCCGACACGGGGAGGUAGUGACAAUAAAUACUGAUACAGGGCUCUUUUGGGUCUUGUAAUUGGAAUGAGUACAAUUUAAAUCCCUUAACGAGGAACAAUUGGAGGGCAAGUCUGGUGCCAGCAGCCGCGGUAAUUCCAGCUCCAAUAGCGUAUAUUAAAGUUGUUGCAGUUAAAAAGCUCGUAGUUGAACCUUGGGCCUGGCUGGCCGGUCCGCCUCACCGCGUGCACUGGUCCGGCCGGGUCUUUCCUCCUGGGGAGCUGCAUGCCCUUCACUGGGUGUGUCAGGGAACCAGGACUUUUACUUUGAAAAAAUUAGAGUGUUCAAAGCAGGCCUAUGCUCGAAUACAUUAGCAUGGAAUAAUAGAAUAGGACGUGUGGUUCUAUUUUGUUGGUUUCUAGGACCGCCGUAAUGAUUAAUAGGGAUAGUCGGGGGCAUCAGUAUUCAAUUGUCAGAGGUGAAAUUCUUGGAUUUAUUGAAGACUAACUACUGCGAAAGCAUUUGCCAAGGAUGUUUUCAUUAAUCAGUGAACGAAGUUAGGGGAUCGAAGACGAUCAGAUACCGUCGUAGUCUUAACCAUAAACUAUGCCGACUA